This 77-nucleotide transfer RNA is filed under the name Arthrobacter sp. MYb214. RNAcentral describes it as "tRNA-Met". It matches the Rfam family "tRNA". From Rfam's summary of the family: Transfer RNA (tRNA) molecules are approximately 80 nucleotides in length. Their secondary structure includes four short double-helical elements and three loops (D, anti-codon, and T loops). The record is from RNAcentral. Lineage: Bacteria; Bacillati; Actinomycetota; Actinomycetes; Micrococcales; Micrococcaceae.
GGGGAGUUAGCUCAGUUGGUUAGAGCAGGGGACUCAUAAUCCCUUGGUCAUGGGUUCAAGUCCCAUACUCCCUACAA